UAGGUUGAAGCCAGUUGAUUAGGGUUUUUAGCUGUUAACUAAAGUUUCGCGAGUUUAAGUCUCGUCAACCUAG
This 73-nucleotide transfer RNA is filed under the name Eliomys quercinus (garden dormouse). RNAcentral describes it as "tRNA-Asn". Lineage: Eukaryota; Metazoa; Chordata; Mammalia; Rodentia; Gliridae. The record is from RNAcentral.